Molecule: long non-coding RNA, 1295 nt
Organism: Eriocheir sinensis (Chinese mitten crab)
Lineage: Eukaryota; Metazoa; Arthropoda; Malacostraca; Decapoda; Varunidae
Exons: 3
Source: RefSeq, a predicted model, not a curated record
CCUCCGGACAUUUUCCACCCACUCAACUAUCUGUUUAAUACGAGCGAAAUUAUAAAUAAAUGAAUGGUAAAACAGGCGACUAAAGAUAAGGAACAUAUAAUAAAAAAGAAAUAUGGGAAGUAAGAAAGAAAGAGGGAAACGGGGGUAGUUUUUGGAUGCCCUGUGCGCGUUCCCGAGGCCCUUCGACUUUCCAUCCCAGAUACGAUAAACGCGGUGAGCAGCGCCUUCACAGCAUUUACGAUUAAUUUCAUAAUCCAGUCUGGUAGUUUUAAGAAGCGAGUUCUUGCACUGCCCUCCUUGCCUCGGCGGGGUAAGGAGCGCCAGCGAGCCCAAGGUCUCCCUGGCGAGCGUGGCAGCGCUGGAGGGCUCCCCGAAGGACACCUUGGUGUUCCCCGGGGCGUCCGCGGAGGUACCGGGUAGAUGGGGCUCGUUAGCCGUGGUAGGCAGUCCAUCUAGGAGAGCAAACUCCGAACAACAAACCCGGGCAGGUGAGGCUCGUUAGCCGUGGUAGGCAAUUCGCCUAGGAGAGCAAACUCCGAACAACAAACCCGGGCAGGUGGAGGUCGUUAGCGUGAGCAGUUCACCUAGGAGAGCAAACUCCGAUUACAAACCCGGGCAGGUGGAGGUCGUUAGCGUGAGCAGUUCACCUAGGAGAAGGACAACUCUGAUUACAAACCCGGGCAGGCGGAGGUCGUUAGCCGUGGGAGGCAAUUCACCUAGGAGAAGGACAACUCCGAACAACAAACCCGGGCAGGUGGAGGUCGUUAGCCGUGGGAGGCAAUUCACCUAGGAGAAGGACAACUCCGAACAACAAACCCGGGCAGGUGGAGGUCGUUAGCCGUGGGAGGCAAUUCACCUAGGAGAAGGACAACUCCGAACAACAAACCCGGGCAGGCGGAGGUCGUUAGCCGUGGUAGGCAAUUCGCCUAGGAGAAGGACAACUCCGAACAACAAACCCGGGCAGGUGGAGGUCGUUAGCCGUGGUAGGCAAUUCGCCUAGGAGAAGGACAACUCCGAACAACAAACCCGGGCAGGCGGAGGUCGUUAGCCGUGGUAGGCAAUUCGCCUAGGAGAAGGACAACUCCGAACAACAAACCCGGGCAGGCGGAGGUCGUUAGCCGUGGUAGGCAAUUCGCCUAGGAGAAGGACAACUUCGAACAACAAACCCGGGCAGGCGGAGGUCGUUAGCCGUGGUAGGCAAUUCGCCUAGGAGAAGGACAACUUCGAACAACAAACCCGGGCAGGCGGAGGUCGUUAGCCGUGGGAGGCAAUUCGCCUAGGAGAAGGACAACUUC